AGUUUGAUCCUGGCUCCAGAAGAACGCUGGGGGGGUGCCUAAUACAUGCAAGUCGAGCGGACCUUUCGGGGUCUUGGGUGGACGGGUGAGUAACACGUGGGCAAUCUGCCCGAUACUCUGGGAUAACUCUUGGAAACGAGUGCUAAUACCGGAUGGUCUUCUUGGCCGCAUGGCCGANAAGGAAAAGACGCGUUCGCGUCAGAGUCGGAUGAGCCCGCGGCGCCUUAGCUAGUUGGUGAGGUAACGGGCCCCCAAGGGGACGAUGCGUAUCCCACCUGAAAGGGGGACCGGCCACACUGGGACUGAAACACGGCCCAGACUCCUACAGGAGGCAGCCGUAGGGAAUCUUCCACAAUGGGCGAAAGCCUGAUGGAGCAACCCCGCGUGAGUGAUGAAGGCCUUCGGGUUGUAAAACUCUGUCAUUCGGAACGAACCGGAGUCUGAAGAAAUGCAGACUCUCUGACGGUACCGGAGGAGGAAGCCCCGGCUAACUACUUGCCAGCAGCCGCGGUAAUACGUAGGGGGCAAGCGUUGUCCGGAUUCGCUGGGCGGAAAGCGCGCGCAAGCGGUGAUGUUAGUCUGAGGUGAAAACCCCAAGCUCAACUUCUGGACUGCCUUGGAUACUGCAUCACUUAAGGAUAGGAGAGGCAAGGGGAAUUCAUCGUGGAGCAGCAAAAUGCGUAGAGAUGUGCAGGAAGCCUGUGGGUAAAGAGCCUUGCUAGCCUAUUUCUGACGCUGAGGCGCGCAAGCGUGGGCCACACACAGGAUUACAUACCCUGGGAGUCAACGC
RNAcentral lists this ribosomal RNA (790 nucleotides) under uncultured bacterium. RNAcentral describes it as "bacterial SSU rRNA". It matches the Rfam family "Bacterial small subunit ribosomal RNA", at positions 10 to 800 of the family's 1533-position model. The record is from RNAcentral.